UAGGGAAUCUUCCACAAUGGACGAAAGUCUGAUGGAGCAACGCCGCGUGAGUGAUGAAGGGUUUCGGCUUGUAAAACUCUGUUGUUGGAGAAGAACGGGUGUCAGAGUAACUGUUGACAUCGUGACGGUAUCCAACCAAAAAGCCACGGCUAACUACGUGCCAGCAGCCGCGGUAAUACGUAGGUGGCAAGCGUUGUCCGGAUUUAUUGGGCGUAAAGCGAGCGCAGGCGGUUUUUUAGGUCUGAUGUGAAAGCCUUCGGCUUAACCGGAGAAGUGCAUCGGAAACCGGGAGACUUGAGUGCAGAAGAGGACAGUGGAACUCCAUGUGUAGCGGUGAAAUGCGUAGAUAUAUGGAAGAACACCAGUGGCGAAGGCGGCUGUCUGGUCUGCAACUGACGCUGAGGCUCGAAAGCAUGGGUAGCGAACAGGAUUAGAUACCCUGGUAGUCCAUGCCGUAAACGAUGAGUGCUAAGUGUUGGAGGGUUUCCGCCCUUCAGUGCUGCAGCUAACGCAUUAAGCACUCCGCCUGGGGGAGUACGACCGCAAGGUUGAAAC
Molecule: ribosomal RNA, 555 nt
Filed under: uncultured bacterium
Lineage: Bacteria
Description: partial 16S ribosomal RNA
Rfam family: Bacterial small subunit ribosomal RNA
Source: RNAcentral